RNAcentral lists this transfer RNA (73 nucleotides) under Colletotrichum chlorophyti. It matches the Rfam family "tRNA". From Rfam's summary of the family: Transfer RNA (tRNA) molecules are approximately 80 nucleotides in length. The record is from Rfam by way of RNAcentral. Lineage: Eukaryota; Fungi; Ascomycota; Sordariomycetes; Glomerellales; Glomerellaceae.
GCCUUGCUAGCUCAAUCGGUAGAGCGUGAGACUCUUAAUCUCAAGGUUGCGGGUUCGACCCCCACGUGAGGCU